RNAcentral lists this unclassified non-coding RNA (225 nucleotides) under Hevea brasiliensis (rubber tree). The record is from RNAcentral. Lineage: Eukaryota; Viridiplantae; Streptophyta; Magnoliopsida; Malpighiales; Euphorbiaceae.
AAAAGAAACAAACUUGCCCUUCAGCUCUUUUGCCUCCUCGUACAGAUCAGCCAGGUUAGGGUGUUUGACCUUCCAUAAACCCUGAACCUGAGAACAGACAAGUUUGUCACCUUGGACUUGAAUUUUCGUAUAACCCCUUUUAAGAGCAUAUUUCAACCCUAAAAUCAUGGCUCUAUAUUCGGCUACAUUAUUUGUUGUUUUGCCCAAUCCUUCUCGCAAUCUGCA